Molecule: ribosomal RNA, 405 nt
Filed under: uncultured bacterium
Lineage: Bacteria
Description: bacterial SSU rRNA
Rfam family: Bacterial small subunit ribosomal RNA
Source: RNAcentral
ACCAUGCAAGUCGAACGGCAGCACGGGGGCAACCCUGGUGGCGAGUGGCGAACGGGUGAGUAAUGCAUCGGAACGUGUCCUUAAGUGGGGGAUAACGCACCGAAAGGUGUGCUAAUACCGCAUAAUCUCUACGGAGAAAAGCAGGGGAUCGCAAGACCUUGCGCUUUUGGAGCGGCCGAUGUCUGAUUAGCUAGUUGGUGAGGUAAAGGCUUACCAAGGCGUCGAUCAGUAGCUGGUCUGAGAGGACGACCAGCCACACUGGGACUGAGACACGGCCCAGACUCCUACGGGAGGCAGCAGUGGGGAAUUUUGGACAAUGGGGGAAACCCUGAUCCAGCCAUGCCGCGUGAGUGAAGAAGGCCUUCGGGUUGUAAAGCUCUUUCAGCCGGAACGAAACGGUCACGG